UUGAACGCUGGCGGCAUGCCUUACACAUGCAAGUCGAACGGUAGAGGGGCAACCCUUGAGAGUGGCGAACGGGUGAGUAAUGCAUCGGAACGUGCCCAGUCGUGGGGGAUAACGCAGCGAAAGCUGUGCUAAUACCGCAUGUGAUCUGUGGAUGAAAGCAGGGGACCGCAAGGCCUUGUGCGAUUGGAGCGGCCGAUGUCAGAUUAGCUAGUUGGUAGGGUAAAAGCCUACCAAGGCGACGAUCUAUAGCUG
RNAcentral lists this ribosomal RNA (252 nucleotides) under uncultured bacterium. Its description in RNAcentral is "partial 16S ribosomal RNA". It matches the Rfam family "Bacterial small subunit ribosomal RNA", at positions 30 to 289 of the family's 1533-position model. The record is from RNAcentral.